AUGGUUAUCACCUUUGAUAUUCGUCUGGAAGAUGAUAUUGAAGGUAAUAGAGACAUAUGGGGCGAUGUGCAGACGCCUCCAGUUCUACCAUUAUCUUAUCUCCAUUCAACCAAACAUGUCCGGCGCUUAGUAGACAGGACCUUCUACUGUCCCGGAGCUGAACUAAACCGCGAGGAGAUAAGUCAUUAUGUUUCAUGGCUUGAGGAUCUUCAUACUAUCAAGACAGAUUUUUUUCCUGCACUUGGAAAUGUUAGUACUCAAAACGUGCGACCAAUAGUGAUGGUAUUGAACUACGGUCACAUCUAUUUAGGAAUGAUGGGACUCCCGAUGACAUUGUGA
This 339-nucleotide ribosomal RNA is filed under the name Triticum aestivum (bread wheat). RNAcentral's name for it is "partial small subunit ribosomal RNA". Lineage: Eukaryota; Viridiplantae; Streptophyta; Magnoliopsida; Poales; Poaceae. The record is from RNAcentral.